UACGAAGGGGGCUAGCGUUGUUCGGAAUUACUGGGCGUAAAGCGCGUGUAGGCGGUUCUUUAAGUCUGGGGUGAAAUGCCAGGGCUCAACCUUGGAACUGCCUUUGAUACUGGAGACCUUGAGUCCGGGAGAGGUGAGUGGAAUUGCGAGUGUAGAGGUGAAAUUCGUAGAUAUUCGCAAGAACACCAGUGGCGAAGGCGGCUCACUGGCCCGGAACUGACGCUGAGACGCGAAAGCGUGGGGAGCAAACAGG
Molecule: ribosomal RNA, 253 nt
Filed under: uncultured bacterium
Lineage: Bacteria
Description: partial 16S ribosomal RNA
Rfam family: Bacterial small subunit ribosomal RNA
Source: RNAcentral